GGGGGGGGGGGGGGGGGGGGCGAGGGGGGGCGGGUGGAGCGGAGGGGCGGGAGGCGUGCUUCUCUGAUGUUAGCGGCGGCCGGGGUGGUAACACGUGGAUAACCUACCUAUAAGACUGGGAUAACUUCGGGAAACCGGAGCUAAUACCGUCUAAUAUUUUGAAUCGCAUGGUUCAAAAUUGAAAGACGGUCUUGCUUUCACUUAUAGAUGUAUCCGCGCUGCAUUAGCUAGUUGGUAAGGUAACGGCUUACCAAGGCACAGAUGCAUAGCCGACCUGAGAGGGUGAUCGGCCACACUGGAACUGAGACACGGUCCAGACUCCUACGGGAGGCAGAAGUAGGGAAUCUUCCGCAAUGGGCGAAAGCCUGACGGAGCAACGCAGCGUGAGUGAUGAAGGUCUUCGGAUCGUAAAACUCUGUUAUUAGGGAAGAACAUAUGUGUAAGUAACUGUGCACAUCUUGACGGUACCUAAUCAGAAAGCCACGGCUAACUACGUG
This 497-nucleotide ribosomal RNA is filed under the name uncultured bacterium. RNAcentral describes it as "partial 16S ribosomal RNA". It matches the Rfam family "Bacterial small subunit ribosomal RNA", at positions 26 to 507 of the family's 1533-position model. The record is from RNAcentral.